CCCCCUCCGGAGGAAUUGGCGGGUUCCAGCCCCUCGCUGAGCCUGACCUGCCUCGUGCGCGGCUUUUACCCCGAAUCCAUCGACGUCCAGUGGCAGAAGGGGCUGGAAAAGCUGGAGUCGGGCGUGGUGACGUCACCGCCGCGCCGGGAACUUCCGGGCCUGGCUUCCGGUGGGGGGGAGGGGCCCUACUUCCUGUAUUCCCGGCUGGAAGUGGCGCGGGACGAGUGGGAAAAGGGGGCGGGGCAAAGCUACGCCUGCACCGCCGUGCACGAGGCGCUGCCCCUGCGCUUCGUGCAGCGCACGCUCCGCCCACAGCCCGGUAAUUAGUUAAUUAGUCCCGUU
Molecule: non-coding RNA, 342 nt
Organism: Neopelma chrysocephalum (saffron-crested tyrant-manakin)
Lineage: Eukaryota; Metazoa; Chordata; Aves; Passeriformes; Pipridae
Source: the annotation of a RefSeq genome assembly